Molecule: small nucleolar RNA, 135 nt
Filed under: Gallus gallus (chicken)
Lineage: Eukaryota; Metazoa; Chordata; Aves; Galliformes; Phasianidae
Description: GGN5 snoRNA
Rfam family: Small nucleolar RNA SNORA55
About the family: ACA55 is a member of the H/ACA class of snoRNA that guide the sites of modification of uridines to pseudouridines.
Source: RNAcentral
CAGCACCUGAAUCUUUCCUAUUCCUUGCUGUGCAGUGCAGGUCUGGGGACAGUUGGUGCUACAGCACAGCAGCAGAAAUCCAGAUGGGUUACUUUCCACUCGCUUGGAACUCAUCUCUACAGCUCUGCAACAUUU